RNAcentral lists this ribosomal RNA (497 nucleotides) under uncultured bacterium. RNAcentral describes it as "partial 16S ribosomal RNA". It matches the Rfam family "Bacterial small subunit ribosomal RNA", at positions 28 to 507 of the family's 1533-position model. The record is from RNAcentral.
GAUGAACGCUGGCGGCGUGCCUAAUACAUGCAAGUCGAGCGAACAGACGAGGAGCUUGCUCCUCUGACGUUAGCGGCGGACGGGUGAGUAACACGUGGAUAACCUACCUAUAAGACUGGGAUAACUUCGGGAAACCGGAGCUAAUACCGGAUAAUAUAUUGAACCGCAUGGUUCAAUAGUGAAAGACGGUUUUGCUGUCACUUAUAGAUGGAUCCGCGCCGCAUUAGCUAGUUGGUAAGGUAACGGCUUACCAAGGCAACGAUGCGUAGCCGACCUGAGAGGGUGAUCGGCCACACUGGAACUGAGACACGGUCCAGACUCCUACGGGAGGCAGCAGUAGGGAAUCUUCCACAAUGGGCGAAAGCCUGACGGAGCAACGCCGCGUGAGUGAUGAAGGUCUUCGGAUCGUAAAGCUCUGUUGUUAGGGAAGAACAAAUGUGUAAGUAACUAUGCACGUCUUGACGGUACCUAAUGAGAAAGCCACGGCUAACUACGUG